Molecule: ribosomal RNA, 440 nt
Filed under: uncultured bacterium
Lineage: Bacteria
Description: partial 16S ribosomal RNA
Rfam family: Bacterial small subunit ribosomal RNA
Source: RNAcentral
CCUACGGGAGGCAGCAGUGGGGAAUAUUGGACACUGGGGGGAACCCUGAUCCAGCGACGCCACGUUAGUGAUGAAUUAUUUCGGUAUGUAAAGCUCUAUCAGCAGGGAAGAAAAUGACGGUACCUGACUAAGAUGCCCCGGCUAAAUACGUGCCAGCAGCCGCGGUAACACGUAGGGGUCAAGCGUUAUCCGGAUUCACUGGGUGUAAAGGGAGCGUAGACGGUGCAGCAAGUCAGGUGUGAAAGGUCGGGGCCCAACCCCGGGACUGCAUUGGAAACUGUUGAACUGGAGUACAGGAGAGGUAAGCGGAAUGCCUAGUGUAGCGGUGAAAUGCGUAGAUAUUAGGAGGAACACCGAUGGCGAAGGCAGCUUACUGAACUGUAACUGACGUUGAGGCUCGAAAGCGUGGGGAGCAAACAGGAUUAGAUACCCUUGUAGUC